UACGAAGGGGGCUAGCGUUGCUCGGAAUCACUGGGCGUAAAGCGCACGUAGGCGGAUUGCUAAGUCAGGGGUGAAAUCCUGGAGCUCAACUCCAGAACUGCCUUUGAUACUGGCGAUCUUGAGUCCGGGAGAGGUGAGUGGAACUGCGAGUGUAGAGGUGAAAUUCGUAGAUAUACGCAAGAACACCAGUGGCGAAGGCGGCUCACUGGCCCGGUACUGACGCUGAGGUGCGAAAGCGUGGGGAGCAAACAGG
This 253-nucleotide ribosomal RNA is filed under the name uncultured bacterium. Its description in RNAcentral is "partial 16S ribosomal RNA". It matches the Rfam family "Bacterial small subunit ribosomal RNA", at positions 524 to 776 of the family's 1533-position model. The record is from RNAcentral.